RNAcentral lists this ribosomal RNA (492 nucleotides) under uncultured bacterium. Its description in RNAcentral is "partial 16S ribosomal RNA". It matches the Rfam family "Bacterial small subunit ribosomal RNA", at positions 29 to 507 of the family's 1533-position model. The record is from RNAcentral.
AGUGAACGCUGGCGGUAGGCCUAACACAUGCAAGUCGAACGGCAGCACAGUAAGAGCUUGCUCUUACGGGUGGCGAGUGGCGGACGGGUGAGGAAUACAUCGGAAUCUACUUUUUCGUGGGGGAUAACGUAGGGAAACUUACGCUAAUACCGCAUACGACCUACGGGUGAAAGCAGGGGAUCUUCGGACCUUGCGCGAUUGAAUGGGCCGAUGUCGGAUUAGCUAGUUGGCGGGGUAAAGGCCCACCAAGGCGACGAUCCGUAGCUGGUCUGAGAGGAUGAUCAGCCACACUGGAACUGAGACGCGGUCCAGACUCCCACGGGAGGCAGCAGUGGGGAAUAUUGGACAAUGGGCGCAAGCCUGAUCCAGCCAUACCGCGUGGGUGAAGAAGGCCUUCGGGUUGUAAAGCCCUUUUGUUGGGAAAGAAAAGCAGCAGGUUAAUACCCCGCUGUUCUGACGGUACCCAAAGAAUAAGCACCGGCUAACUUCGUG